RNAcentral lists this ribosomal RNA (253 nucleotides) under uncultured microorganism. RNAcentral describes it as "partial 16S ribosomal RNA". It matches the Rfam family "Bacterial small subunit ribosomal RNA", at positions 524 to 776 of the family's 1533-position model. The record is from RNAcentral.
UACGUAGGGUGCGAGCGUUAAUCGGAUUUACUGGGCGUAAAGCGAGCGCAGGCGGCCCGUUAAGACAGGUGUGAAAUCCCUGGGCUCAACCUAGGAAUUGCGCUUGUGACUGGCGGGCUCGAGUACGGUAGAGGGGGGUGGAAUUCCUGGUGUAGCAGUGAAAUGCGUAGAGAUCAGGAGGAACACCGAUGGCGAAGGCAGGCCCCUGGGCCUGUACUGACGCUCAUGCACGAAAGCGUGGGGAGCAAACAGG